This 216-nucleotide unclassified non-coding RNA is filed under the name soil metagenome. RNAcentral's name for it is "partial contains 5.8S ribosomal RNA, internal transcribed spacer 2, and large subunit ribosomal RNA". The record is from RNAcentral.
AACCAUUCUCACCUGCGGCUAGACCUGCGGAAGGAUCAUUACAAGUGACCCCGGUCUAACCACCGGGAUGUUCAUAACCCUUUGUUGUCCGACUCUGUUGCCUCCGGGGCGACCCUGCCUUCGGGCGGGGGCUCCGGGUGGACACUUCAAACUCUUGCGUAACUUUGCAGUCUGAGUAAACUUAAUUAAUAAAUUAAAACUUUCAGCAAUGGAUCU